GAUGAAGAACGUAGCGAAAUGCGAUAAGUAAUGUGAAUUGCAGAAUUCAGUGAAUCAUCGAAACUUUGAACGCACAUUGCGCCCGCCAGUAUUCUGGCGGGCAUGCCUGUUCGAGCGUCAUUACAACCCUCAGGCCCCCGGGCCUGGCGUUGGGGAUCGGCGGAAGCCCCCUGCGGGCACAACGCCGUCCCCCAAAUACAGUGGCGGUCCCGCCGCAGCUUCCAUUGCGUAGUAGCUAACACCUCGCAACUGGAGAGCGGCGCGGCCACGCCGUAAAACACCCAACUUCUGAAUGUUGACCUCGAAUCAGGUAGGAAUACCCGCUGAACUUAAGCAUAUCAAUAAGCGGAGGA
RNAcentral lists this unclassified non-coding RNA (353 nucleotides) under soil metagenome. Its description in RNAcentral is "partial contains 5.8S ribosomal RNA, internal transcribed spacer 2, and large subunit ribosomal RNA". The stretch from base 1 to 120 matches the Rfam family "5.8S ribosomal RNA", at positions 35 to 154 of the family's 154-position model. The record is from RNAcentral.